UCCCCAGUGACUUAAAUGGUAAAGAAUCUGUCUGCAAUGCAGGAGACCCAGGUCCAAUCCUUGGAUGGGGAA
RNAcentral lists this transfer RNA (72 nucleotides) under Ovis aries (sheep). It matches the Rfam family "tRNA". Rfam says of the family: Transfer RNA (tRNA) molecules are approximately 80 nucleotides in length. Their secondary structure includes four short double-helical elements and three loops (D, anti-codon, and T loops). Lineage: Eukaryota; Metazoa; Chordata; Mammalia; Artiodactyla; Bovidae. The record is from Rfam by way of RNAcentral.